UUAGCGAUUUUUUAUGCUAAAUAAUUUCUGCCCAGUGGAGUCUAAACGGCCGCGGUAUCUUGACCGUGCAAAGGUAGCAUAAUCAUUUGCCUCUUAAUUGGUGGCUUGUAUGAAAGAAAAAAUAAAGGUAGAGCUGUCUCUAAAACAAAGCAGAAAUUGCUGAUUGUGUGAAGAAGCACAAAUAAAGAAAAAAGACAAGAAGACCCUAUUAAGCUUUACUUUAAACCUUUGGUUUUUAUCUUAUAGAUAAUAAAAACCAAAGGUUCCAAAGUUUGGUUGGGGUGACUAAAAAGGAAAAGAUCCUUUUUUUAUUUUUGUAGUUUGUUUUUAAAAAUGAUCCAAAUUUUUUGAUUGAUUGAACAAGUUACUAUAGGGAUAACAGCGUAAUUUUUUCGGAAAGUUCUUAUUAAUGAAAAAGUUUGCGACCUCGAUGUUGACUUAUUAUGACCUAAUAAGGUGUAGAAGCUGUAAGGGUUGGUCUGUUCGACCAUUAAAAUAAUACGUGAGUUGAGUUCAAACCGGUGUGA
Molecule: ribosomal RNA, 527 nt
Filed under: Lineidae sp. Pili_CB142_CBdT0065
Lineage: Eukaryota; Metazoa; Nemertea; Pilidiophora; Heteronemertea; Lineidae
Description: partial 16S ribosomal RNA
Rfam family: Bacterial large subunit ribosomal RNA
Source: RNAcentral